GACAGAGGUGGCAAGCGUUGUUCGGAGUUACUGGGCGUAAAGAGUCUGUAGGUGGUCUGUCAAGUCUUUGGUGAAAGGCCGUGGCUUAACCAUGGGAAUGCCAAAGAGACUGGCAGACUGGAGGCUGGGAGAGGGAAGCGGAAUUUCUGGUGUAGCGGUGAAAUGCGUAGAUAUCAGAAGGAAGGCCGGUGGCGAAGGCGGCUUCCUGGAACAGACCUGACACUGAGAGACGAAAGCGUGGGGAGCAAACAGG
RNAcentral lists this ribosomal RNA (253 nucleotides) under uncultured bacterium. Its description in RNAcentral is "partial 16S ribosomal RNA". It matches the Rfam family "Bacterial small subunit ribosomal RNA", at positions 524 to 776 of the family's 1533-position model. RNAcentral also lists the same sequence under 1 other name. The record is from RNAcentral.